UGGCCUUGCAGCAAGCACAAAGCGAGCUAUUCUUUCGCCUUUUACUAAAGAAUAUCGUGUGCUUGCUGUUGAAAACGGCAUAUGUUAAUAUUUUGAGGGUGCACUUCACGCAGAGUGCC
Hevea brasiliensis (rubber tree) is the source of this 119-nucleotide small nuclear RNA. RefSeq annotates it as U5 spliceosomal RNA. The transcript has a single exon. The record is from RefSeq and is a predicted model, not a curated record. NCBI's taxonomy places the organism in Eukaryota, Viridiplantae, Streptophyta, Magnoliopsida, Malpighiales, Euphorbiaceae.